AUCCGGAGCCGGGCGGCUCGCCCAGGAUACGGAGCCCGGCGGUCACGGGGGAGAAGGUAGCUGUCGGGCAUUCCCCUGGCGCUGAAGGGCAGAUUGCUGGUCUCACUCCAUUGCCCAGGCUUCAGUACAGUGGAUUACAGCUCACUGCAGCCCCAACCUCCUGGACUCAAGCGAUCCUCCCAGCCUCCUGAAUAGCUGGGACUAUAGGUGCUCACCAGCAUGCCUGGCUAAUUUUUGUAUUUUUUUGUAGAGACAGGGUUUCACCAUGUUGCCCAGACUGGUCUCAAACUCCUGGGCUCAAAAAAUCCACCCACCUUGGCUUCUCCAAAGUGCUGGGAUUACAGGUGUGAGCCACCAUGCAUGGCCAAGCACAUGAAAUUGCAUGCAAAGCUGCCAUGCUUCCGUAUUUGCAAGAGUUCCUAACCUGGAACAAGAUUAAGAAUCAGCAGCAAACCAAGUGAGAGUUUCCAGGGAGAUGGUGCAGCUUUCCCGUGAAUACCUAUGAAUUCACCACCUAAAUGGUACUCAGAGCUCUUAAGGGGACAGCACAAGGACGAGCCUGGGAAUCUAAGCACAGUGGGCUGAACAUCUGCUGGGACAAGGAUGGGGCCAGAGACAGAUCACUCUGACUCACCACCCUGCCACCAAACUAAUGUUUGAAAGCUCUAAAUUUAUUCAGCUUAUACUGAAAGGAAAUGAAGUCUAUGUCCAAAUAGGAAACAAUGUGGAGUACUGCUGUGCUGUGCCUUCAUUACCUGAGACUACAGCAGCCUGCAUUCUCCACCGGGCUCGGAGGAGUGCAGAUGCCUGAGCUAUGCAGUGUGAUUCAACAAUUCCAGUUGGACGGAAAAUACAGCUGUCUUUUUUACGGAGUUGAAGUCAAAUCUACGUGCAGCUUUUUUUACCUACAAAUAAUGGACAAGCUCCUGAAUCCAACAUAUUCUAGCUGAAACGGAUCCCAGGACGGAAUGCUGGAGAGAUGCGUAUUCCAGCUACAGGCCCUCAGAGCUCAGUGUUUACCUGUUCUGGUCUUUCCUCACAUAUCUGACAAUCGUUAGCUCUCUUUGUAUUUCAAAGAAAAGCUCUGGAAUGUGUCUGGGACCUGUGUAUAUAUGGGCAAAACUCAUCAACGAAUGGGCUCCCUGGUGAUUAUUUGGCAGAUUCCUGGCAAUUUCAUCAGAGGAUCCAAAAAUUGGAGAAACUCCAAGAUGAACCCCAAAGAUCUCCAUCUCCAGCUGUUCACACUCCUAUGUAAUCUCUAGCCCUUGGGUGUGGAAAGGACUUGUGACUUACUUUAACCAACAACAGAAUAUAGCAAAGAUGCCUAAGAACUGCAAAUGAGAAAUAAUUUUCUCACCUGGUCACAGCAUCUACCAAGAAUGGCGCUGGGGGAGAGAUCAGUGAGAUUCCAUCUUUAUUACCAUGUCCCUCCUUCCCUGUCAAAAGCAUUUCACAUCCCGCAAGUCCAUUAGACAUGGCACCACUCUGCUGUGGGAGAUACACACACAACUAAAUACAGGGUAACAAUACCUGCCUGGUCAGCACUUCAGCUCCAAAUCAAGCUUCACUAAUGACUAUGAGAUUAACGAAGAUGGUUUUGAUAAUUAUGACUGUUUGUUUUGUUUUUCUUAACUAUUCUUCAUCUGAGACUUUUACUUUUGUUUCUGCCAGCAUCCUGACAAACAUUUACAACCAGAAAGGGUAAGCCACUAGCUUGAAGCCAUUAAGUUAAGUUCAGUUAACAAGGCUUUGAUAACAACCCUCAUGUUUUUAAGGAAAAACAAAGAACCUAGUAAUCCUUUAGGCCUUACCCUGAAAGGGUAGCCAGAAGAAAAAUCACAAAUAACAUGAACUUACCGGAACAAUCCACCGGGGUGUGAUCAUGGAUGUGGAAGACACCUGAAAUAAUUUUAUAUGUAUGUAUUUACUUUUUGGAAAGACUGACUUAUUUUCAUACUUAUAAUACUUACUUACAUCUAUUAUGAAAUCCAUUCUAGGAGGGCAAUUCUUAAUUCUUAAUGGUGUUCCUUGAGCUGACAUGGACUUCUAAAUCCAAGACCCUUUUCUGUUAUACAACACAGAUGCUAUCCCUCACCACUUAAGAAAGUGUCAUAAUUUUGAGAAUCUCUUAUCUAAAAAUUUACCAUUCAAGAAUCUAUUACUACUUUCAGUUCACUUAAUAGGACUGCCCCUACCUCACACCCAGUAUUCAGUUUAACAUUUUAUUUUCUGAAAUUUCAGUUAAUUAAUUACAAAUAAUGAUAGCCUUCUUGGUAGCAGCCUGAACAAUGGAUUGUGACUAAUCCAAAUAAAGAGCAACAAGAAAGUACACAGAAAAAUAAUCUGUUUAGAUACAGAUCAUUCUCUAAUUAUCAUGUAUGCAUGAAGAAAGCGCAAUAAAAACACCCAUAUUGCUCCUGGUUCACAGGGCCUUUGAUACAUUAUUUUUAUAUGUUUAACUUUCUAUUAUAGGUCAUCUAUGUGUAGAAUUAUAAACUAAGGAAACCCACCCAUUUUACUAGUAAUUUAGACUAGUCCUUGCAUUGGUGGCCUUACAUACUCAUAAGAAAAAACUAAUGUAAGUCCAGGUAUUAGUAAAUUAGAUAACCACCAAAAGAAUAAAAACACAGGCUGGGCGCAGUGGCGCACGCCUGUAACCCCAGCAUUUUGAGAGGGCGAGGUGGGCAGAUCAUGAGGUCAAGAGAUCAAGACCAUCCUGGCCAACAUGGUGAAACCCUGCCUCUACUAAAAAUACAAAAAUUAGCUGGGCAUGGUGGCAUGCGCCUGUACUCCCAGCUACUCGGGAGGCCAAGGCAGGAGAAUCGCUUGGAGGCGGAGGUUGCAGUGAGCUGAGAUCACGCUACUCCUGGCAAAAAAGCAAGACUCCAUCUCAAAAAAAAAAAACCCACAAAAUCUGACUUUCCUACCAAUACUUUUUAGAUGCAUGUUAACAGCAGGAAAUAAGAGAGAAAAAAUAUCAUAAAUAAUAGUAAACAAAAAAUAGUUUGACAGACUUUUCCACACUUGCAGUUAAUUCUUAUCCUUGGUAAAGUCUUUGUUUAUUAAUCUAAGCUGGUCAUUCCCAACGGGUGGUUCCCAGACCACAUCUGCACCACCUGGGAACAUGUUAGAAACACAACUUUUCAGACCCCACCCAAGAUAUACCAAAAUUAGAAACUUGGAGGUGGGGCCCAGCAAUCUUGUGUGUUAACGUCCCCUCCAAGGGAUUCUGAUAUACACAAAAAUUUGAGAAUUAAUGAUCUAUGCAAACAUUCAGUAUCAUGUGUAUUUCCAAGCCUUCAGGAUGGCAUCUAGCCCCUACAGCAAUUCUCGUCAUAUCACUCAUAAGGUACAAAGUUAGUCAUUUCUGUUUUUUUUUUUUUUUUUUUUUUUUUUUGAGACGGAGUCUCACUGUGUCGCCCAGACUGGAGUGCAAUGGUGCUAUCUCGGCUCACUGCACGCUCCAUCUCCCAGGUUCCAGCAAUUGUCUUGCCUCAGCCUCCCGAGUAGCUGGCGCUACAGGUGUGCACCACCACCCCCGGCUAAUUUUUGUAUUUUCAGUAGAGACAGGGUUUCACCAUGUUGGCCAGGCUGGUCUUGAACUCCUGACCUCAAGUGAUCUGCCCACCUCGGCCUCCCAAAGUGCUGGGAUUACAGGCGUGAGCCACCGUGUCCAGCAAAGUUAGUCAUUUCUAUCUCUCUCAUCCCUGGAGGGAAGGAACUGUUUCAGUUGGCCCUCCAUAUCCAUGAGUUGUGCAUCUGUGGAUUCAACAACUGUAAAUCGAAAAUAUUUGGAGGGAAAAAAAGGAUGGUUGUGUCUGUACUGAACAUGUGCAGGCUUUUAUUCUUGUCAUUAUUUCCUAAACAAUACAAUAUAACAACUGUUUACCAGCAUUUACACUGCAUUAGAUAUUAGAGGUAAGCUAGAUUAUUUAAAAUAUACUAGAGGAUAUGUGUAGGUUAUAUGCAAACACUACACCAUUUUAUAUGAGAUUUAAGCAUGCAUGGAUUUUGGUAUCCAAGGGGAGUCCUGGAACCAAUCCCCCACAGAUACUGAGGGACAACUAUACUUAAUACAGUAUCUUCCAGACUGUAAUAAUGAUUGAUAUGUUCAAUGCCAUUCUUACGCUCUCAUCUUUCUAUAAAACUUUUUAAAAAAUUAAAUAUAUCCUUAUUGUCUCAAGAAACUGCUUUAUCCCCAUGUUUUCUCUCAUUUAAUAUGAUGUUGAAUUAUAAAAGGCUUAUAGAGACAUGUGAUUUGUAGACAGUGAUACACAAAUUCAAAGUGGUAAAAUUUUAGGACAGAGAGGCAAUGCUAAGUGGUUAUUAAAACAUAAACUCUUAUCAAAUGAAAAGUUUAACUGAAUUAUUAAAAAGGAAAAAACUGGAAUCUAGCAGGAACAUUUUUCAAAACAGAAAUUUCUUUCCAUCAUACUAUUUUAAAGCAUAUUUACCUGAGGUGCAACUGUGUGAUCAAUUAGAUUCUCAGUUAGAGAUGCAAGCAAGGCAUCCAAUUCAUCUGUAGCUUCCUAUGGAAGACAGGAAUCUAGAAUUGUUAAAUGACCCCUUUAUCAUCAGAUGUUAAGUUUUUUCCAUAUCCUCUCAAUUUAUAAUUCUGACACAGGCCUGAUUAGUGUUAAUCCUUUAAAUACACAGGGACACUCAUAAAUCAUGGUUGUUAAUGAUUCCACUUCUGCAUGGAGGGAAACCUAUACUACAAUCAGGAUGUGAAAAAGCUGAAGUGCUAUGUAAAUUUUCAAAUAGCUAUUCUCCUUUGGUAAGACAAAACUUGGGUAGGGUUAUGACUAUUCUGGCUCUUAACUUUUUCUUUUUAAUUACAAAAAAAUUAUUUUGGCUGGAUGCAGUGGCUCACACCUGUAAUCCUAGCGCUCUGAGAGGCCAAGGCGGGAGGAUCCCUUGAGCCCAGGAGUUUGAGACCAGCCUGGGCAAUAUAGUGAGACCUCAUCUUUACAAAAACUGAGCUAAGCUGGGCACAGUAGCACUCAGCUGUAGUCCCAGCUACUCAGGAGGCUGAGGUGGGAAGAUCACUUGAGCCCAGGAGACAGAGGCUGCAGUGAGCCAAGAUUACACCACCGUACUCCAGCCUGGAUGACAGAGUGAGAUUCUGCCUCAAAACAAAUUUUAAAAAAGUAAAUACAGCCGGGCACUCCUGGCUAACACGGUGAAACUCCGUCUCUACUAAAAAUACACAAAAUUAGCUGGGCGUGGUUGCGGGCACCUAUAGUCCCAGCUACUCGAGAGGCUGAGGCAGGAGAAUGGCAUGAACCCGGGAGGUGGAGGUUGCAGUGAGCCGAGAUCGCGCCACUG
Molecule: long non-coding RNA, 5328 nt
Filed under: Homo sapiens (human)
Lineage: Eukaryota; Metazoa; Chordata; Mammalia; Primates; Hominidae
Description: non-protein coding lnc-TMEM185B-1:9
Source: RNAcentral